Molecule: transfer RNA, 94 nt
Filed under: Clostridioides difficile
Lineage: Bacteria; Bacillati; Bacillota; Clostridia; Peptostreptococcales; Peptostreptococcaceae
Description: tRNA-Arg(tct)
Rfam family: tRNA (bases 7-83)
About the family: Transfer RNA (tRNA) molecules are approximately 80 nucleotides in length.
Source: RNAcentral
GGUGCAUAGCUCAGCUGGAUAGAGCAACGCCCUUCUAAGGCGUACCUGACUUUUAAUCAGGGUGUCCCGCGUUCGAGUCGCGGAUAGAUCACCA